GAUGAACGUUGGCGGCGUGCCUAAUACAUGCAAGUCGAACGUGAUCCAUUAGCAAUAAUGGUGAAAGUGGCGCACGGGUGAGUAACACAUGGUUGACCUGUCCUUCAGCGGGGGACAACCACUGGAAACGGUGGCUAAUACCCCAUACGUUCGUCCGGGUUAGAGGCUGGACGAGGAAAGGCGCAAGUCGCUGAAGGAGGGAACUGUGGCCCAUCAGCUAGUUGGUAGGGUAAAGGCCUACCAAGGCGAGGACGGGUAGGGGGCCUGAGAGGGUGAUCCCCCACACUGGAACUGAGAGACGGUCCAGACUCCUACGGGUGGCAG
This 324-nucleotide ribosomal RNA is filed under the name uncultured Chloroflexota bacterium. Its description in RNAcentral is "bacterial SSU rRNA". It matches the Rfam family "Bacterial small subunit ribosomal RNA", at positions 28 to 351 of the family's 1533-position model. Lineage: Bacteria; Bacillati; Chloroflexota. The record is from RNAcentral.